ACAUACGAUCAUAGAUGGUAGAAAACUCGGGAUCCCGUCCGCUCUCCCAUAGAUAAGCUACCAAUCGCCAGCCUAGUAGUUGGGUCGGUGAUGACCAGCGAAUCCCUGGUGUUGUAUGUU
Molecule: ribosomal RNA, 120 nt
Organism: Sordaria macrospora k-hell
Lineage: Eukaryota; Fungi; Ascomycota; Sordariomycetes; Sordariales; Sordariaceae
Source: Rfam